Molecule: ribosomal RNA, 497 nt
Filed under: uncultured bacterium
Lineage: Bacteria
Description: partial 16S ribosomal RNA
Rfam family: Bacterial small subunit ribosomal RNA
Source: RNAcentral
GAUGAACGCUGGCGGCGUGCCUAAUACAUGCAAGUCGAGCGAACGGACGAGAAGCUUGCUUUUCUGAUGUUAGCGGCGGACGGGUGAGUAACACGUGGAUAACCUACCUAUAAGACUGGGAUAACUUCGGGAAACCGGAUCUAAUACCGGAUAAUAUUUUGAACCGCAUGGUUCAAAAGUGAAAGACGGUCUUGCUGUCACUUAUAGAUGGAUCCGCGCUGCAUUAGCUAGUUGGUAAGGUAACGGCUUACCAAGGCAACGAUGCAUAGCCGACCUGAGAGGGUGAUCGGCCACACUGGAACUGAGACACGGUCCAGACUCCUACGGGAGGCAGCAGUAGGGAAUAUUCCGCAAUGGGCGAAAGCCUGACGGAGCAACGCCGCGUGAGUGAUGAAGGUCUUCGGAUCGUAAAACUCUGUUAUUAGGGAAGAACAUAUGUGUAAGUAACUGUGCACAUCUUGACGGUACCUAAUCAGAAAGCCACGGCUAACUACGUG